GCUGGGCGUGGUGGCGGGUGCCUGUAGUCCCAGCUACUCGGGAAGUUGAGGCAGGAGAAUUGCUUGAACCCAGGAGGCAGAGGCUGCAGUGGGCCAAGAUCACGCCACUGCACUCCAGCCUGGGUGACAGAGUGAGACCCUGUCUCAA
Molecule: non-coding RNA, 148 nt
Filed under: Pan troglodytes (chimpanzee)
Lineage: Eukaryota; Metazoa; Chordata; Mammalia; Primates; Hominidae
Source: Rfam by way of RNAcentral